Molecule: ribosomal RNA, 509 nt
Filed under: uncultured bacterium
Lineage: Bacteria
Description: bacterial SSU rRNA
Rfam family: Bacterial small subunit ribosomal RNA
Source: RNAcentral
UCUGGUUCAGGAUGAACGCUAGCUACAGGCUUAACACAUGCAAGUCAGGGGGCAGCAUGAGAUCAGCUUGCUGAUCUGAUGGCGACCGGCGCACGGGUGAGUAACGCGUAUCCAACCUUCCCCCUACUCAGGCAUAGCCCGGUGAAAACCGGAUUAACUCCUGAUAGUUUCACUAGAUGGCAUCUGACGGUGAAUAAAGCUCAGCGGUAAGGGAUGGGGGAUGCGUCUGAUUAGCUUGUUGGCGGGGUAACGGCCCACCAAGGCGACGAUCAGUAGGGUUCUGAGAGGAAGGUCCCCCACAUUGGAACUGAGACACGGUCCAAACUCCUACGGGAGGCAGCAGUGAGGAAUAUUGGUCAAUGGGCGCGAGCCUGAACCAGCCAAGUAGCGUGCAGGACGACGGCCCUAUGGGUUGUAAACUGCUUUUGUGCGGGAAUAAAGUCAGGGACGUGUCCCUGUUUGCAUGUACCGCAAGAAUAAGGACCGGCUAAUUCCGUGCCAGCAGCGGC